RNAcentral lists this ribosomal RNA (2211 nucleotides) under gut metagenome. RNAcentral describes it as "bacterial LSU rRNA". It matches the Rfam family "Bacterial large subunit ribosomal RNA", at positions 689 to 2925 of the family's 2925-position model. The record is from RNAcentral.
AGGGCGUAUAGUCGGCAGUGGCAGACGCGAAACCAAGUGAUCUACCCUUGGCCAGGUUGAAGGCUGGGUAACACCAGCUGGAGGACCGCACCAAUAAGCGUUGAAAAGCUUCUGGAUGAGCUGAGGGUAGGGGUGAAAGGCUAAUCAAACUUGGAGAUAGCUCGUACUCCCCGAAAUGCAUUUAGGUGCAGCCUUGCGGGUUACUGAUGUGAGGUAGAGCGACUGAUAAGAUGCGAGGGCUUCACCGCCUAUCAAGUCUUGACAAACUCCGAAUGCGCAUCAGUUCUACCGCAGGAGUGAGGGCAUGGGUGCUAAGGUCCGUGCCCGAGAGGAGAAGAAUCCGGACCACCUGCUAAGGUCCCGAAAUGACAGCUAAGUUAAACUAACGAAGUCUGACUGCUAAGACAGCUAGGAUGUUGGCUUGGAAGCAGCCAUUCAUUUAAAGAGUGCGUAACAGCUCACUAGUCGAGGAGUCGGGCGUGGAUAAUAAUCGGGUAUCAAGUUGUCUACCGAAGCAGUGGGAUCAUUAAUAUGAUCGGUAGGGGAGCAUUCCAGUCAGCGUCGAAGGCGUACCGUGAGGUAUUCUGGAGCGUCUGGAAAAGCAAAUGUAGGUAUAAGUAACGAUAAAGGGGGCGGGAAACCCCCUCGCCGAAAGACUAAGGUUUCCUGAUCAACGCUAAUCGGAUCAGGGUCAGUCGGGUCCUAAGGCUCAGCCGAACGGCGAUGCCGAUGGCAGAAACGGUUAAUAUUCCGUUACUACCUUCAGGAGUGACGUGGAGACGCAGUAGUGACAGUGCCGCCAUCUGACGGAAUAGAUGGUUGAAGGGUGUAGGAGUCGAUCAUGGCAGGCAAAUCCACCAUGAGAUCCGAACCUGACAGUAUGCCGCGUCCUUCGGGACAAGGCAAUAGUGCGCGUAAGCAUGCUGCCGAGAAAAUCCGCUAAACUUAAUCCUGUAGGUACCCGUACCGCAAACGGACACACGUAGUCGGGAUGAAUAUUCUAAGGCGCUUGAGUGAUUCACGGUUAAGGAACUAGGCAAACUGACCCUGUAACUUCGGGAUAAAGGGUCCCUACCCUUUUAUGGGAGGGCGCAGAGAAUCGGUCCAGGCAACUGUUUAACAAAAACACAGGGCUGUGCCAAAUCGAAAGAUCCAGUAUACAGCCUGACACCUGCCCGGUGCUGGAAGGUUAAGAGGAGAUGUCAUCGAUAAGAGAAGCGUUGAAUUGAAGCCCCAGUAAACGGCGGCCGUAACUAUAACGGUCCUAAGGUAGCGAAAUUCCUUGUCGGGUAAGUUCCGACCUGCACGAAUGGUGUAAUGAUCUGGACGCUGUCUCAACCGUGAGCUCAGUGAAAUUGUAGUAUCGGUGAAGAUGCCGAUUACCCGCGAUGGGACGAAAAGACCCCGUGAACCUUUACUAUAGCUUAUCAUUGAAUCUGGGCACGUGAUGUGUAGGAUAGGUCGGAGGCUUUGAAGCAGGUACGCCAGUAUUUGUGGAGCCGCUGUUGAAAUACGACCCUUUAUUUGUUUGGAUUCUAACCCGUGGAACGGGGACAUUGAUUGGUGGGUAGUUUGACUGGGGUGGUCGCCUCCAAAAGCGUAACGGAGGCUUCUAAAGGUGCCCUCCGGCCGAUUGGUAACCGGCCUUAGAGUGUAAUGGCAUAAGGGCGCUUGACUGGGAGACUGACAAGUCGAUCAGGUAGGAAACUAGAGCAUAGUGAUCCGGUGUUUCCGUAUGGAAGGGACAUCGCUCAAAGGAUAAAAGGUACUCCGGGGAUAACAGGCUGAUCCCUCCCAAGAGCUCAUAUCGACGGAGUGGUUUGGCACCUCGAUGUCGGCUCGUCACAUCCUGGGGCUGGAGAAGGUCCCAAGGGUUGGGCUGUUCGCCCAUUAAAGUGGCACGCGAGCUGGGUUCAGAACGUCGUGAGACAGUUCGGUCUCUAUCUAUCGUGGGCGCAUGAAAUUUGCGUGGCUCUGACACUAGUACGAGAGGACCGUGUUGGACAGACCUCUGGUUUGCCGGUUGUGCCGCCAGGUGCAUUGCCGGGUAUCUAAGUCUGGAUCGGAUAAGUGCUGAAAGCAUCUAAGUACGAAGCCGGCCACAAGAUUAGAUUUCUCAGGGUCGUUGUAGACUACGACGUUGAUAGGAUGCAGGUGUAAAGAUGGAGACAUCAAAGCCGAGCAUUACUAAUUGCCCGUCCACUUUCCUUA